UACGAAGGGGGCUAGCGCUGUUCGGAAUCACUGGGCGUAAAGCGCGCGUAGGCGGCUUUGCAAGUCAGAGGUGAAAUCCCCAAGCUUAACUUGGGAACUGCCUUUGAAACUGCAAAGCUAGAGUGUCGGAGGGGAUGGCGGAAUUGCUAAUGUAGAGGUGAAAUUCGUAGAUAUUAGCAGGAACACCGGUGGCGAAGGCGGCCAUCUGGACGACAACUGACGCUGAGGCGCGAAAGCGUGGGGAUCAAACAGG
This 253-nucleotide ribosomal RNA is filed under the name uncultured bacterium. RNAcentral describes it as "partial 16S ribosomal RNA". It matches the Rfam family "Bacterial small subunit ribosomal RNA", at positions 524 to 776 of the family's 1533-position model. The record is from RNAcentral.